UACGUAGGGGGCAAGCGUUGUCCGGAAUCAUUGGGCGUAAAGGGCGCGUAGGCGGCCACGCACGUCCGUUGUGAAAUCGCCCGGCUCAACUGGGCGGGGUCAGCGGAUACGGUGUGGCUCGAGCAAGCUAGGGGGCAAUGGAAUUCCCGGUGUAGUGGUGGAAUGCGUAGAUAUCGGGAGGAACACCAGUGGCGAAGGCGGUUGCCUGGAGCUUUGCUGACGCUGAUGCGCGAAAGCGUGGGGAGCGAUCCGG
RNAcentral lists this ribosomal RNA (253 nucleotides) under uncultured bacterium. Its description in RNAcentral is "partial 16S ribosomal RNA". It matches the Rfam family "Bacterial small subunit ribosomal RNA", at positions 524 to 776 of the family's 1533-position model. The record is from RNAcentral.